UACGUAGGGUGCAAGCGUUGUCCGGAAUUAUUGGGCGUAAAGAGCUCGUAGGCGGUCUGUCACGUCGGCUGUGAAAACCCGAGGCUCAACCUCGGGCCUGCAGUCGAUACGGGCAAACUAGAGUACUGCAGGGGAGACUGGAAUUCCUGGUGUAGCGGUGAAAUGCGCAGAUAUCAGGAGGAACACCGGUGGCGAAGGCGGGUCUCUGGGCCACUACUGACGCUGAGAAGCGAAAGCAUGGGGAGCGAACAGG
This 253-nucleotide ribosomal RNA is filed under the name uncultured bacterium. RNAcentral describes it as "partial 16S ribosomal RNA". It matches the Rfam family "Bacterial small subunit ribosomal RNA", at positions 524 to 776 of the family's 1533-position model. The record is from RNAcentral.